RNAcentral lists this ribosomal RNA (514 nucleotides) under uncultured bacterium. RNAcentral's name for it is "partial 16S ribosomal RNA". It matches the Rfam family "Bacterial small subunit ribosomal RNA", at positions 28 to 523 of the family's 1533-position model. The record is from RNAcentral.
GACGAACGCUGGCGGCGUGCCUAACACAUGCAAGUCGAACGGAGAUUGCAUUUAUGUAAUCUUAGUGGCGAACGGGUGAGUAACGCGUAGACAACCUACCGCUUAGAUGGGGACAACACUGGGAAACUAGUGCUAAUACCGAAUGUUGUAUUGAAGCUGCAUGGUUUUGAUACUAAAGAUGGCCUCUGCAAAUGCUAUCGCUAAGUGAUGGGUCUGCGUCUGAUUAGCUAGUUGGUGAGGUAAUGGCUCACCAAGGCGACGAUCAGUAGCCGGUCUGAGAGGAUGAACGGCCACACUGGGACUGAGACACGGCCCAGACUCCUACGGGAGGCAGCAGUGGGGAAUCUUCCGCAAUGGACGACAGUCUGACGGAGCAACGCCGCGUGAGUGAAGAAGGUUUUCGGAUCGUAAAGCUCUGUUUUCAGGGACGAAUGUGCAGAUUGUAAAUAAUGAUUUGUAAUGACGGUACCUGAGUAGAAAGCCACGGCUAACUACGUGCCAGCAGCCGCGGUAA